UGAGGUGAGUAGCAAAAUCUCUUCAAACUCACAACUUUUAAACGGCAUAAGUAGUGGUUUGACAUUGAACACUGAUAUUACGACUCGUUUCUAACUCACACAGAAUUCAGAUACAAGGACAAGUAUUUACACGAGAAACGAUUAAAACAUUUUACUGAUACUGAAGCGUUAGUAAAAUAUUAGCUUGUUAAUAUUAGCAACGCGCUAACGGUGGUAUAGCCGUUUAACCCAGUUUGUCGGUUAGCCGUCAGUUAGCAAUCAAAAAGCUGCAAGGUCACAGUUUAUUAACCGUAAAUGAGAAACCUUUUCUAUUUCCCCUUUUUUUUAAACUCAGCUGUCCACCUUCACAGUAACGUGCAUUUUUUAAAAAUAUAUAUUUUAUGUAUUCUGAACACAGUCAGUGCUAGUCAAUAUAUGUAGCCGUUCGCCUGCACUCAGGCACCGCCAUUAUACUUUCAUGUUGUCAAAAGUUCCGCCAGCUCUGUCUCUCCCUGGCAUGUUUUAUGCAGGACAGGGUGUCAGCUGUAUAUUUAAAAGUUCAUCAGUGACUCAUUGCAUGUCCUGUACUAACUAUGUUGAAUUAGACUUUGAUGACACAUAAAUCUUCUUUAUAGUGCUGAUAAUAUUAAAUAGAACUGACAUAGCGCAUAAGUAAGAGUGUGUGUGUGUGUUUUAUUUGUAGAUCUGGUAGUUUACCUCAGUAACCACACACUGCCAUUUACAUAUGAUGUAUAAACACUAGGUGAUUAUUUUGUGUAUUGUACUGUGCUGUAAUUUUUCCUCUUUGACAACAGAGGGAUAUUAACAAUCAAUACAUUAUAAACAUGACAAUAAAAUGUGUCCCUCCUCCCCUCUCUUUCUCCUCCUCCUCCCUCCUGUCAUCAACUGUGGACCAUUGUUGGUGAUUUGUCUGGACUGACUCUGAUAAUUGAGAUCUGUGUUGGUGGCUCCUUGGAGACUGAACUGUGUGUCCAGCUGUGUGCCAACCUCCACUCUACCCUCUACCCUUAACUGGACAGAACUAUCGUGCGCCCCCCCCCCCCCAACACACACACACACACACACCCCUUUCCUGUCCCAUCUACCAAACUCACCCCUAAUUUUUUGGACCAUAUCUCUCUCCUGUCUCCUCUUCUCAUUUCUAUCAAAUUUUUUGGACCAUCUAUCUUUCUGCCCCCCCCUACCUGUCCUUCUAUGUAAUUUGUAGCACCAGUUGUGAUUUGGAUCAAAGAUUUUACUGGAUCAGAUAUUUUACUGAAUCUCAGGUUAUUGGUACCUGGUCAUUCUGUCCCCGUCUCUCCUCUGUCCGAAAUUGCAAAUUUCCUAAUUUUCCACAUAUAGAGUUUAAAAAAAAAAUGUGGAAAAAUAAUUGAAACUAAAUUAUUAAGAAACUGCAACAUCCAUAACAGCAGUUAUUUUGUUGUAAUUGGUUGGACAAAUUAUACUUAGAGUGCAAAGAUUGGACUUUGAAAAAAUCUCUCAUUUAUACGUUAUUGAAUACAUAAUUGAACAUAAUUAAAUAUAACAUUGUACUGUUGUAAAUAUAUAUCAACAAGAACUAUUAUUUGGAGUGAAAACACAUUUGAAGCUGAAAAGAAUCAGCUGACUGUACAGAGAUCAACUUCAACAUUUCUUGAUCUCCAGAUAUAUUGAUAUCAGAACACAGUGCUUAUUUUAAGUUAUUUUAUUCUUUAGAGAAAAACACAAAGAAGUUAAAUAGAAUUGGACUUAACUGGAAGACAUUAAUAUAAGAGCACUGUAUCUAGACCUCAGCCUGUUCCUGUUGAUUCAUUCUGGACUGCUGCUCAGAGGUUUGUGCUCAGGUUUGUGUUGAUGGCAAAUAUUUGUCCACACCUACAUUUUUUCAAAUAUUCAGUGUAUACAAGUGUUUUGUUGUUGUUUAACCCGUUGAUACUACAAUAAACUGAAAAACAUCUGU
Molecule: long non-coding RNA, 1939 nt
Organism: Lates calcarifer (barramundi perch)
Lineage: Eukaryota; Metazoa; Chordata; Actinopteri; Centropomidae
Exons: 3
Source: RefSeq, a predicted model, not a curated record